This is an RNA transcript of Zingiber officinale, 2541 nucleotides long. It is a transcript of the gene named nuclear pore complex protein NUP85-like, with no coding region annotated. Lineage: Eukaryota; Viridiplantae; Streptophyta; Magnoliopsida; Zingiberales; Zingiberaceae. The record is from RefSeq and is a predicted model, not a curated record. The transcript has 20 exons.
UUCACACACCAGCGUUCCUCACCGGAACAUAAACACGUUCCUCGCCUUCGGCACUGCUCCUCAAACCCUAAAACCCCUUGUCGUAAUAGAGCUGCUACGGCCGGACCCCUACCGGAGAUGCCCGGGCGGCUGUCGGAUCCGGGAGCAGACACAAUAGUGCCGAUAUCGCUGGAGUCCCGACAGCCGGUUGUGCUGUCCCUACGUCACGGUGUUUCCGCCCCGGUAUUCCGCGUCUACAUUUCUUGGUCCCGUGGCAGUCUUCUCCAUGUAGCCUGUCUCCGCCCGCCUUCUCUGGAACCUGACGGCGCUGGAGACGAUGAGGAGGAAGGUGGGAAAGUGGUGGAGGUGAGGCUGGGAACGGGCGAUGGCGGAAUCAGUGAGGCUCAGAUGCGAAGGAUCGCGUAUGGUUCCGUCCCUCCCUUUGUGGAGCUCCAGAGCUGGAAGAAUUCGCUCGCUUCUCUGUCCAUGAUGUCAUCCUCUUCGUUCCGCACGGAAAAGUGGCAGUAUAUUUUAGAGUACAGUAGAAAAGUAAAUGAGCUUCUCAAAACUCAUCAGAUUCCUCCCGACAAUGUGAUCGAGGAUCCAAGGAUAAUUGUGAAGCUUCUUAAGGAGACCUCCAGUUUGAGAGCUGCUUGGGAACUGAUGGAGAUAUUUUUUAUUGAUAAACAAUCACUAUCAUGGCUUCCAGAGCGCCUUGUGGAUUGGUUAGAGGAGUAUGAUAGCCUUGUGACCAGGACUGACCUCACAGUUUAUUCAAAGCUAGUGGCUAUGCAAAAGAAACUUGUUGAUUUCAAGGUUAUUGAAGAUAACCCUGAUUAUUGGGAAGCAGUGUCAUCAGCCCUUGCAGUUGGUUGGCUUGAUACUGUGGCAAAAUUACUGAGACUGCAUGGCUCUUACCAAUUGGAUCAGCUUGAUGACCGUGAGACUGAAAAUGGGUUAGUAGAGGCUGUUGCUGUUCUCAUCUUAACAAUGCCACGCUUGUGCCCUGACUUAUCUUCUGAAAAGAUAGGUCAAUGCUAUGAUACUAAACCAGAUUUUAUCAAGGCUUGGGAAAAAUGGCGCGGCCAGGUCAGUAAACUAGAACGGAGUGCAUAUUGGGUGCAGUGUAGCCAUCAUCAAACUCGGGAAGGCCUCCAGAAGUUGUUAAAGAUUUUGCUGGGCAACAUAAGCAAUCUUACAUCUGCAACUUGUCACUGGAUGGAGCUUCUUAUCUCUCAUUUACUUUAUACAAGACCAUUCAUAAUGGGUUUAGAAGGGCUGAACAACUUGGCUCAAAAAUGUCAGCAGUUGAAGCCUACUGCUGAGUAUAAUGGUCUUAUGAGUCUUCUGAUGGGUAUCCUUCAAGAGAGCCCCGAGGCUGUGUUAGCAGAAUGCUCCAGAACAUAUGGUCCUUGGAUGGUUGCCCAUGGAACAGAGUUGUUGGCAGCUGGCAGUGAUUAUGCUGACAUACAAUUGCAUGAAGAGAGAUACAACCUGGGAAGUAUCAGCAUUGAGGAACUCCAUUGGCUUGUAUAUGCCCAAGUCCUUUCGUCUCAUCCCUUGACUUGGCAAAUUGCAUCCACAUAUCUAGCACAAUGCCCAAAGCAAGGAUUAGGGCUGUUAGAGUUUUUAUUGUAUAAGCAGCCUCUUCAGCACCAUCAAGGGAUUUUUAAAAAUCUUGAUCUGAGUCGUUCCUAUGAUCUUGAUAACAUCAGUGCGAGUAUUAUGAAGAUUGCUGGUAUGCACCAUUGGAAGCAUGGGAGGAAAGGAUUUGGAAUUUACUGGCUUCAACUAGCCCGUGAUGAAGUUCGUCUCAACAGAAUUGCUCAACAGCUUUUUGAAUUCAUUGGGAGGUCACUGUCUGAUGAUAGCUUCCAGCAAUGGGAGGGAUUAAUCGAACUGCUAGGCACACGAGUAGGAAGUUCAGGAGGGCUGGAGUUUCUUCAUAAAUAUCGGGACUUGAAGAGAUUACUUAAGCAGGUGGAAGAUGGAAGAGCAGUGAAUGCUGCUCGGCUUGCUGCUGAAUCACUUGUACAGCUGAUGAAAAGUCCAUCCACUCCACAACAAUUCUGGCUUCCCCUUUUGUACGAUUCGGUUAGCCUGUUAAACUGGAAGGCCCAACCACUGUUAAGGGUCUCAGAAACGAAUCUGUUGCUGAAUAAGUUGCAAGAUCUCUCCAUGGCAAAGAUGUGCCCUGGUUUUGUCGAUUCCAACUUGCCGUCUCAUGCUCUUAGUUCUGUCAGAUUAGCCCUGGCCAAGAAUCUCGGGCGUGCUAUUCUUGAAGAAUGCUGAUGCUUUUAGACCCACCACAACAAGGAGGACAACUCAUUGCAAAAGUUUCAACGGUGCCAAAUUAGUGAUCAUUUGAAGCUCGUGCGUCUACCUACGACGGCUUUGUCCUUAAGCAAUGUCAAGUACUUUGGCAUGCGAAGCUGGAGCAUCUUCCGGUCGGUUUGCCAUUAGGCUGUUUGCCCAUCCGUCCCAAUCAGUGGAACAGGAGUAAACGUGAUAUCGUCCUCUCCGGAUGUGGAACACGAGUAAACGUGAUAUUAUCCUCUUAGU